Miniopterus natalensis is the source of this 586-nucleotide non-coding RNA. The record is from RefSeq and is a predicted model, not a curated record. NCBI's taxonomy places the organism in Eukaryota, Metazoa, Chordata, Mammalia, Chiroptera, Miniopteridae.
UCCGCAUGAAAAUUACCUUGAAAAGGCUUCUCAAUGCCUAGAGAAACUUAAGACAUUGGAUGAAAUCAAAAAGACUCUAACUGAGAGACGCUACCCCGGAGUGCCGAGGUUUGUGCAGGACAUGGAUCGCAUCUUUCAGGGCCCCAGCAGCAAUGACUCAGAUGGAAUAGAGGAGGAAUUUAAGAAGAAUUUCAAAGAAGUCUUUGCUAUUCAGAAAAGAAAUUAAAACAGCUCCCUGGUGUGGUGGAUGCUGUUAAUACCCUGGACAGUCCCGCUUCAGGCAGAUUUCUCAUCCCCCAGCUGCUAUGAGGCUUGGCUGCCGAUGCCACCUCCCCCCGUGUAUUGCUUUGGGCCAAAUGGAGCCAGAUUCACAUGAAGGUUACAUCUCUGUGUCCUGGGGGCUGCUUCCCAGCAUCAAGGUUGAGUCAACCAUGUGGAGAGACUCGCGAUCCUGUGCUCCCCAGUGAGUCAGGCUGGAGUUAGUCUCCAGCUAUGACCACGCCCUUGCUGAGCUUUUCCCACCAUGGUACCCUGCUUCCCUUAUCCCUCCUCCUGAGAGGACUCUCCCAAUAAAUCGCUUACUGAA